AGGUGUAGCGCAGUUGGUAGCGCGCCUGCUUUGGGAGCAGGAUGUCGCAGGUUCAAGUCCUGUCACCU
RNAcentral lists this transfer RNA (68 nucleotides) under bovine gut metagenome. It matches the Rfam family "tRNA". From Rfam's summary of the family: Transfer RNA (tRNA) molecules are approximately 80 nucleotides in length. The record is from RNAcentral.